CCUACGGGAGGCAGCAGUGAGGAAUAUUGGUCAAUGGGCGAGAGCCUGAACCAGCCAAGUAGCGUGCAGGACGACGGCCCUAUGGGUUGUAAACUGCUUUUAUACAGGGAUAAAGUCGGGGACGCGUUCCCCGUUUGCAGGUACUGUAUGAAUAAGGACCGGCUAAUUCCGUGCCAGCAGCCGCGGUAAU
Molecule: ribosomal RNA, 190 nt
Filed under: uncultured rumen bacterium
Lineage: Bacteria
Description: partial 16S ribosomal RNA
Rfam family: Bacterial small subunit ribosomal RNA
Source: RNAcentral